Molecule: long non-coding RNA, 4341 nt
Filed under: Anthonomus grandis grandis
Lineage: Eukaryota; Metazoa; Arthropoda; Insecta; Coleoptera; Curculionidae
Description: uncharacterized LOC126747523
Source: RNAcentral
AUUAAAAAAAUUUUUUUGCUAUACAUUAAUAAUAAAAAGACUAUCAAAAAAGUAAAAUAAUAAAAUUUUCUAUUUCCCAUAGGAAAGCCAUAAAAAAUAAAAAACUGUAUUUUCCACACAACAGAAAUUUGAAGGGGUACCCUCAUGAAUCUUGUUUAAAAAUCACUUUUAAUUUUUUUAUUAAAAAUCUGUGCGUGUGAGAGGAAAAUGGCUUUAAUAAAAGUUGUUCAGAAUAAUAGGGACAAUAUCUAGAAAAAUAAAUUUUAAUUUUAUUUCCCAUACAGUGGGAGAAAAUCUCGGAAAACCUGUAUUACAAAAAAGGCAAUUUUCUCGAAAAGUAUUCUAUAUUAAUUUUUUUAAUUUUUAAAUUAGAUGUCUUUUUUAAGGACAAAUUGAAAAGUGUUCUAUAUAUUUCUCACAAAAAGUAACCAGAAAAGAGUUAUCGGCAUUUUUUGAUUUUUGACCAAAACGAUGGGAAAUUUAAGAAUUUUGAAAAGUUGAGCAAAUCAAAAAAAUUUUUUUGCUAUACAUUGAUAAUAAAAAUACUGUCAAAAAAGUAUAAUAAGAAAAAUUUCUAUUUUCCAUAGGAAAGCCAUAAAAAAUAAAAAACUGCAAUUUCCAUAAGAACACACGCAUAAGAGAAAUUUGAAAGGGUACCCCCAUGAAUUUUUUUUAAUUUUAUUUUUUUAUGGAAAAUCUGUGCGUGUGAGAGGAAAAUCGCUUUAAUAAAAGUUGUUCAGAAUAAUAAGGACAAUAUCCAAAAAAAUGAAUUUUAAUUUUGUUUCCCAUGCAGUGGGAGAAAAUCUCGGAAAACCUGUAUUACAAAAAAGGCAAUUUUCUCGAAAAGUAUUCUAUAUACAUUUUUUAAAUUUUUAAAUUAGAUGUCUUUUUUAAGGGCAAAUUGAAAAGUGUUCUAUAUAUUUCUCACAAAAAGCAACCAGGAAGAAGUUAUCGGCAUUUUUUGAUUUUUGACCCAAACUGGCUGGAAAAUUUAAGAAUUUUGAAAAGUUAAGCAAAUCAAAAAAUUUUUUUUGCUAUACAUUGACAAUAAAAAUACUAUCCAAAAAGUAUAAUAAGAAAAUGUUCUAUUUUCCAUAGGAAAGCCAUAAAAAAUAAAAAACUGUAAUUUCCACGCAGAACAGAAAUUUGAAGGGGGGUACCCUCAUGAAUUUUGUUUAAAAAUCACUUUUAAUUUUUUUAUUAAAAAUCUAUGCGUGUAAGAGGAAAAUGGUUUAAAUAAAAGUUGUUCAGAAUAAUAAGGACAAUAUCCAGAAAAAUAAAUUUUAAUUUUAUUUCCCAUACAGUGGGAGAAAAUCGCGGAAAACCUGUAUUACAAAAAAGACAAUUUUCUCGAAAAGUAUUGGAAAUUUUUAAUUUUUAAUUUUUAAAUUAGAUGUCUUUUUUAAGGGCAAAUUGAAAAGUGUUCUAUAUAUUUCUCACAAAAAGCAACCAGAAAGAAGUUAUCGGCAUUUUUUGUUUUUUGACCAAAACUGGCUGGAAAAUUAAAGAAUUUUGAAAAAUUGGCCAAAUCAAAAAUUUUUUUUGCUGUAUAUUGGCCAUAAAUAGAGUAUCAAAAAAGUAUAAUAGAAGAAUUUUCUAUUUCCCAUAGGAAAGCCAUAAAAAAUAAAAAACUGCAAUAUCCAUAAGAACACACGCAUAACAGAAAUUUAAAGGGGUACCCUCAUGAAUUUUUUUUUUAAAUCACUUUUAAUUUUUUUAUUAAAAAUCUGUGCGUGUGAGAGAAAAAUAGUUUAAAUAAAAGUUGUUCAGAAUAAUAAGGACAAUAUAUAGAAAAAUAAAUUUUAAUUUUAUUUCCCAUACAGUGGGAGAAAAUCUCGGAAAACCUGUAUUACAAAAAAGGCAAUUUUCUCGAAAAGUAUUCGAUAUUAAUUUUUUUUAAUUUUUAAAUUAGAUGUCUUUUUUAAGGGCAAAUUGAAAAGUGUUCUAUAUAUUUCUCACAAAAAGCAACCAGGAAGAAGUUAUCGGCAUUUUUUGAUUUUUGACCAAAACUGGCUGGAAAAUUUAAGAAUUUUGAAAAGUUGAGCAAAUUAAAAUUUUUUUUUUGCUAUACAUUGAUAAUAAAAAUACUAUCCAAAAAGUAUAAUAAGAAAAUAUUCUAUUUUCCAUAGGAAAGCCAUAAAAAAUAAAAAACUGUAAUUUCCACGCAGAACAGAAAUUUGAAGGGGUACCCUCAUGAAUUUUGUUUAAAAAUCACUUUUAAUUUUUUUAUUAAAAAUCUGUGCGUGUAAGAGGAAAAUGGUUUAAAUAAAAGUUGUUCAGAAUAAUAAGGACAAUAUCCAGAAAAAUAAAUUUUAAUUUUAUUUCCCAUACAGUGGGAGAAAAUCGGGGAAAACCUGUAUUACAAAAAAGACAAUUUUCUCGAAAAGUACUGGAAAUUUGUAAUUUUUUAUUUUUGAAUUAGAUGUCUUUUUUAAGGACAAAUUGAAAAGUAUUCUAUAUAUUUUUCACAAAAAGCAACCAGAAAGAAGUUAUGGGCAUUUUUUGUUUUUUGACCAAAACUGGCUGGAAAAUUUAAGAAUUUUGAAAAGUUACCAAAUUAAAAUUUUUUUUUUUGUUAUACAUUGACAAUAAAAAUACUAAUUAAAAAGUAUAAUAAGAAAAAUGUCUAUUUUGCAUAGGAAAGCCAUAAAAAAUAAAAAACUAAUUUCCACGCAUAACAGAAAUUUGAAGGGGUACGUACCCUCAUGAAUUUUUCUUAAAAAUCACUCUUAAUUUUUUUAUUUAAAAUGUGUGCGUGUGAGAGGAAAAUCUUUUAAAUUAAAGUUGUUCAGAAUAAUAAGGACAAUAUCUAGAAAAAUAAACUUUAAUUUUAUUUGCCAUACAGUGGGAGAAAAUCGCGGAAAACCUGUCUUACAAAAAAGGCAAUUUUUUUGAAAAGUAUUCGACAUUAAUUUUUUUUAUUUUUAAAUUAGAUGUCUUUUUUAAGGACAAAUUGAAAAAUGCUCUAUAUAUUUCUUACAAAAAGCAACCAGAAAGAAGUUAUAGGCAUUUUUUUGAUUUUUGACCCAAACUCGCUGGAAAAUUUAAGAAUUUUGAAAAGUUGGCAAAAUCAAAAAAAAAAUUUUUGCUCUAUAUUGGCUGUAAAUAGAUUAUCAAAAAAGUAUAAUAGAAGAAUUUUCUAUUUCCCAUAGGAAAGUCAUAAAAAAUAAAAAACUGUAAUUUCCAUAAGAAUACACGCAUAACAGAAAUUUGAAGGGGUACCCCUAUGAAUUUUUUUUAAUUUUAUUUUUUUAUGGAAAAUCUGUGCGUGUGAGAGAAAAAUCGCUUUAAUAAAAGUUAUUCAGAAUAAUAAGGACAAUAUCUGAAAAAAUUAAUUUUAAUUUUAUUUCCCAUACAGUGGGAGAAAAUCUCGGAAAACCUGUAUUACAAAAAAGACAAUUUUCUCGAAAAGUAUUGGAUAUUAAUUUUUUACGGAAAAUAUGUUUGUGUGAGAGAAAAAUGGCUUAAAUAAAAGUUGUUCAGAAUUAUAGCGGCAACCUCUAGAAAAACAAAUUUUAAUUUUAUUUCCCAUACAGUGGGAGAAAAUCUCGAAAAUUACAAAAAAGGCAAAUUUCUUAAAAAGUAUUCGAUAUUAAAUUUUAAACUUAAGAAUUUUAAAAAAUUGACCAAAUCAAUAAUUUGACGGGUCGCCAUUUUGUCUUUUACGCAGUUUCUUGUGAUCAAGUGGCCAUUUUAAAUUUGACAGCCGCGAAUCGAAGUCAACAACGUCAAAUGCAUAACCUAAUCGUAUCUGAUUAACUCAUUUUGAAUUUUCUAAAACUGACUUUUUCCGGUUUUUUCUGGUUGACGCGGCGCCCUCUAGACCCGCUCAAUCCGAGUUUGAAUUGUCACCCUGAGACACAAUGAGACCGAAAUGACGCUUAAGAUAGAGACUAAAAAAAAAACACGUUUUUUAAAUGUUACAUGUAAAUAAAACCUUUGGUAGAUUAUAUAUAUAUAUUAUACAUAAUAUAUUGUUUGAUAAAUGUAAAUCAUAUCUUUAUAUAUAUAUUACCUGGAUAUUGUGUUAAACAAAAAAAAUGAGUCAAUCUAAAUGUGGUUUUCGUUAACAAAAUGGCGGAACGUCGGUCACUUUUCGACGUCUGAGCCCCAGUUAGGAGUGACCGACGUAAACCGAUUAAUUUACAAAUUGUCCCGUAAUUAAUUGUAAUGGAGCGAACUCUCCAUUAAGCGUUACUGGUAACUCUCUUAAUGGAGAUUUUACGAUUAUUAUUAUUUCCACGGUCGAUUGGGCCUUUAGCGUAUAGAGAUUAAAUGUUCCUGUAUUUAUUAUUAUUAUUAUUUAACGAAUCAUGAAAUAAAUUGUACGUGUUACAUGUU